RNAcentral lists this ribosomal RNA (256 nucleotides) under uncultured bacterium. RNAcentral describes it as "partial 16S ribosomal RNA". It matches the Rfam family "Bacterial small subunit ribosomal RNA", at positions 15 to 263 of the family's 1533-position model. The record is from RNAcentral.
GAUCCUGGCUCAGGACGAACGCUGGCGGCGUGCCUAACACAUGCAAGUCGAGCGGAGACAGUGAGUAGCUUGCUAUGAGCUGUUUUAGCGGCGGACGGGUGAGUAACGCGUGAGCAACCUUUCCCAGACAGGGGAAUAACACACCGAAAGGUGUACUAAUACCGCAUAAGACCACGGAAUCACAUGGUUCUGAGGUAAAAGAUUUAUCGGUUUGGGGUGGGCUCGCGUCCGAUUAGGUAGUUGGUGAGGUAACCGG